Long non-coding RNA from Ictalurus punctatus (channel catfish), 2999 nucleotides. NCBI's taxonomy places the organism in Eukaryota, Metazoa, Chordata, Actinopteri, Siluriformes, Ictaluridae. The record is from Ensembl.
GGGCGGGGUUAGAGAUCAGUGCUGAUAGAAAAGUUGUGGCGAUGAAAGUUUUCUCUCACUCGUCAUGAACCUCAAAUCUACGCUGCAUUGUCAGGAUUAGCUCACCGUGGCGAAAUGAAUUGUGAUUCUUAUAUCUAGCCUUUUUUUUAACCACGAUAUUCCAUGGUUAAGCUGGCACUAGAAAAUUAAACAACACCUUCUGGCCAACUAGGCAAACUAAGAAUUAGAGGGCUGACAGUCUGUGGAACUGUCAUAAGGUGAGAGAGAACAGAACAGAACAAUGGCCAAUAUCCAAACACAUCAUCAUCAUAAGUCAACUCAUCACCAACAUGAACACUGUCAUCCCACUGUCAUCCCACCUGGAUCCCACCUGACUAAGAGGAUGCUACAGGAACAGAAUGAAGACCUGCAUAACACUUUGAAGCAAACAGUGGUGCGUAUGGAGUGCUUAGGAGCUGAAUUUAUCACUGAACAUCAUCAACUGGAAUCAGAGCUACAGAGGACUCGUGUGGAACUAAGCAGCAUGAUGGACAAGUUCACAAGACUUCAGGUUAAUUAUUCCUCCAUUCAGCAGACUGAUGAUUUCCCGGAGGAUGAAACACACUGUAUGGAUGAACGUAUGGAUGCCGAGCGUGAGAAACUAAACCAGCGGAUCUCAGAACUGACAAAACAGCUGUCAGCUGCCAAGACAACCAUUCAGAGCCUGGAGACAAUUAAUACAGAAUUAGCUGCCUAGCUACGAUUAGUUCUUUGUGAAACCCAACUUCUUUCUAAGGUGACGUCAAUGCUCCAGGAAGCCCUUGUAAAGCAUUUUAAAUCAGAUGAUCCCAUCAAGCCAUUCAAGCCAGCAGUUGCACCUCCUCCAUUUCAAUUUAUGGACAGUGAUCAUUAUAACAAAGGUUCAGUAGCUGGAGAUGACCAAUCGUUGGGUCCUGUUCCAGAAGAGGAUGAAUCUGAUUGGUCAGAAAUGGGUGAGGAGGCAAAGCACUAUCCCUUGAGUAGUUUGGAGAGAGGUCAACAUCGUUGUACAGGCUUUUCACCAUGGCAUCAGGAGCAUGGUUGUUGGGUAAAGUCGGAUAAAUACAGAAGAGGAGACGGAGAUACAGAGAGUGAAUCAGGAGGGGAAGAGAUGGCCCACAGCCAGGGCCUACAGAUACCCCACCUUCAGUUCAGUAUAUACCCUGAGACUGUACCAGUACCUGUAACUAGCUUGAAGCAGAAUCUGGAUGGCCCUGUAGGAGAGGAAUACCAUAUUCACACUGGACGCCAGCUAAGCUCUCCUAUUCGCAUCCUGUCUGCUAGCUUGGAGGGCAUCAACUCCACUGACCUCCAGCAACUUGAGCAUCAAAGUCAGUUAAAGUGCAACAAAGGUAAGAUGGACCUCCACCAUUCACAAUGGGGCACUGCUGAAGAUUGGACUGAAGAUGAGCUUACUCAUAACUGGAAGAAGGCAAAAAAGCAAAAGACUGGAGAUGGAGAGAAAGGGUCACGAAGCAGUGACUCGGAGGCUAUGGCUAAUCUGGAGUCAGCGCAGAAGAUGCUCAACCACUUUAUACAGGAGGGAGAGAAUACAAAAAUAUGAAACCUAAACCUAAUGUAUUAGCCUAAUAAUUAAUGUCUUUAAACACUGAGCAAAUGUGAAUUAGAAUAGGAGCGGUCUGUAAGUGAAUAGUACUGUACAAGGUGUUCCAAAAGUCUCCAUAAAUACCACACAGCGCUCGCUGUAAACUACAGUAUGUUUGCCAGCACCACGUCAGGUGUGCCCUCGUCAGUGGAUGUUCGUGGACGUCCACUUCUCGGUCGGUCCGCAACACUUCCAGUCUUUUUGAAUUUGUUAAUAAGUUUGGAAACAGUGUCGUGUGUUUCCUGUUAAAGUCCAUCGCAAACUUGCAACAGCUUCCCAAUCCAGCAAUGAGAAUGAUUCAAUACGUUCUUCUUUUAUCAAAACCAUAACUAAUUAAUUUCCUAGAAUCUCAGUUUGAUCCCCCUGUGUACUGUGGGACUUUGGAGCUCUUAGGGCAGGAGUAUUCUACUAAAAUUGGCAAGUCCAGUUCCAUAAAAUCCCUUGCUGGAUCUGGUCUGAAUCAGCAACUAAUGGUUACUUCUUAACCUUUAUUGAUUUAUUCAUACUAUUAAUAUGACACAACAUGUUUUGACUAGUGCCACCGAGAAAUCUGUUUUGAGUUUGGCGCAAGGAGAAUAAACACAUGCUUCCCUGUCCAAUUGUCUUUAAACCUUUUGGUUUUGUUCUCAAUUAAAAAAAAAAAAAACACAAGCAAUGUCAUCAGUUCAUUAGAACAGAUAGGGUAUCUAAAAUGAACCCUGUAGCUAGUCCAUAGUCUGAUAAGCUGCCUCCAGCUAAAUAAUUUACUCAAAUGCAUGUGAUUGGAUAAGCCACAAGAGACAGAUGUGCUACAGAAUCCAAGCGGGAUUAUGUAUAUAAUAGUGAAGUAUCUGCUCUGAUAUUUUUUCAUGUACUCAGUUUUGUUCCUCUGUUUUACUUUUCUUGGUCGGCAUACCAGGUGAUGACUCCUGCCCUCUUAAAACCAACCCCACCCAUUACGGUUACCUCUAUAAUCUGAUCUAAGCAUACCCUCUAAUGAUCAAACAUUUUAAUAUUCAAGAAUGAUAUAAGUAAUUACUGUGUUUAGGUUAUUGACUAAUUAGGUAGCUGUAAGCACUCUGUCUGCUCCUCAGAACUUGUGCCACACAAGUUUCAGGUUGGACUUCGGAGUCUGGGUUGUGAGUUAGACUUCUCUAUUCACAUUCAAGGAUAUGUCCACGGGUGACUGGUAGCCCUGCUGAAAUAGAUGCUUUGAUAACUUCUCAAGGCAACAUCAGACAGAAGUGUGGCUCUUUGAUUUCACUUGGGUACUAGACAGGGUUGCCCUUAGAAACCCUCUUUACCAGCACAAAUACAUGUAGACUGAGUGGAAAUCCCCCCCCCCAAAAAAAAAAAAUUUUUGCCAUGAAUCUCACACUUUCUUUUUUUUUUUUUU